Molecule: long non-coding RNA, 87 nt
Organism: Myripristis murdjan (pinecone soldierfish)
Lineage: Eukaryota; Metazoa; Chordata; Actinopteri; Holocentriformes; Holocentridae
Exons: 3
Source: RefSeq, a predicted model, not a curated record
UCUAAUUGGUUAAUUGCUGUUAAAUUGCAAUGGCGCUCAUUUAAAUUUCAGCUGUUAGUAAAUCACUUGCUAAACUGAUGAUAGUGA